UGGUGGAGUGAUUUGUCUGGUUAAUUCCGUUAACGAACGAGACCUUAGCCUGCUAAAUAGUUACGAGAAACCUUGGUUUCUUGAUAACUUCUUAGAGGGACUUCGUGGGUUUACCACGAGGAAGUUUGAGGCAAUAACA
This 139-nucleotide ribosomal RNA is filed under the name uncultured eukaryote. Its description in RNAcentral is "partial 18S ribosomal RNA". It matches the Rfam family "Eukaryotic small subunit ribosomal RNA", at positions 1299 to 1458 of the family's 1831-position model. The record is from RNAcentral.